This 422-nucleotide ribosomal RNA is filed under the name uncultured archaeon. Its description in RNAcentral is "partial 16S ribosomal RNA". It matches the Rfam family "Archaeal small subunit ribosomal RNA", at positions 323 to 746 of the family's 1478-position model. The record is from RNAcentral.
CUACGGGGUGCACCAGGCGCGAAACCUUUCCAAUGCACGAAAGUGCGAGAGGGGGAGCCUGAGUGAUAUCGCUUAUGCGAUGUCUUUUAUACACUUGAAAGAGGUGUAGGAAUAAGUGGUGGGCAAGACGGUUGCCAGCCGCCGCGGUAAUAACCGCGCCACGAGUGGUAGUCACGUUUAUUGGGCCUAAAGCGUCCGUAGCUGGUCUGAUGUGUCUUUGGUGAAAUCCAAUAGCAAACUAUCGGGCUUGCUGAAGAUACUAUCAGACUUGGGACUGGGAGAGGUCGAGGGUAUAUUACGGGUAGGGGUAAAAUCCUUUAAUCCGUAAUGGACCACCUGUGGCGAAGGCGCUCGACUGGAACGGAUCCGACAGUGAGGGACGAAAGCGUGGGGAGCGAUCGGGAUUAGAUACCCUAGUAGUC